GGUUAAGCGACUAAGCGUACACGGUGGAUGCCCUGGCAGUCAGAGGCGAUGAAGGACGUGCUAAUCUGCGAAAAGCGCCGGCGAGGUGAUAUGAACCUUUGACCCGGCGAUGUCCGAAUGGGGAAACCCAGUGCAAUCCGUUGCACUAUCGUUAACUGAAUACAUAGGUUAACGAGGCGAACCGGGGGAACUGAAACAUCUAAGUACCC
This 209-nucleotide ribosomal RNA is filed under the name Enterobacter hormaechei. Its description in RNAcentral is "partial 23S ribosomal RNA". It matches the Rfam family "Bacterial large subunit ribosomal RNA", at positions 1 to 211 of the family's 2925-position model. The record is from RNAcentral. Lineage: Bacteria; Pseudomonadati; Pseudomonadota; Gammaproteobacteria; Enterobacterales; Enterobacteriaceae.